CCGGCUAAUUACGUGCCAGCAGCCGCGGUAAUACGUAAGGUGCAAGCGUUAUCCGGAAUCAUUGGGCGUAAAGCGUCUGCAAGUUGUUUAUUAAGUCAGACAUUAAAGACGGCAGCUCAACUGUCGGGCCGUGCCUGAAACUGGUAAGCUAGAGUCAUACAGAGGUACGUGGAAUUCUGCAUGUAGGGGUAAAAUCCGUUGAUAUGCAGAGGAACACCAAAAGCGAAAGCAGCGUACUGGGUAUGUACUGACACUCAGAGACGAAAGCAUGGGUAGCGAACGGGAUUAGAUACCCCGGUAGUCCAUGCCGUAAACGAUGAUCACUCGAUGUUAGACUUUUCAAUCGGUCUAGUGUCCAAGCUAACGCGAUAAGUGAUCCGCCUGGGGAGUACGGUCGCAAGAUUAAAACUCAAAGGAAUAGACGGGGACCUACACAAGCAGUGGAGCAUCUGGUUUAAUUCGAUAAUAAGCGAGGAACCUCACCUAGGCUUGACAUCCCGAUGAACGCUCUAGAAAUAGAGAACUGCCUUUUGGAACAUCGGUGACAGGUGCUGCAUGGUUGUCGUCAGCUCGUGCCUUGAGGUGUUCGGUUAAGUCCGUGAACGAGCGCAACCCACGUCGCAUGUUGUAUUUUUCAUGCGAGACCGCCGGUUACAAAUCGGAGGAAGGUGUGGAUGACGUCAAAUCAGCAUGGCCCUUAUGCCUAGGGCUACACAGGUGCUACAAUGGCCAGUACAACGGGCAGCGAAGCAGCAAUGCCAAGCCAAUCCCUUAAAACUGGUCCAAGUUCGGAUUGAGGGCUGCAACUCGCCCUCAUGAAGUUGG
This 825-nucleotide ribosomal RNA is filed under the name uncultured organism. RNAcentral describes it as "bacterial SSU rRNA". It matches the Rfam family "Bacterial small subunit ribosomal RNA", at positions 493 to 1329 of the family's 1533-position model. The record is from RNAcentral.